Molecule: ribosomal RNA, 439 nt
Filed under: uncultured bacterium
Lineage: Bacteria
Description: partial 16S ribosomal RNA
Rfam family: Bacterial small subunit ribosomal RNA
Source: RNAcentral
CUACGGGCGGCUGCAGUGAGGAAUAUUGCACAAUGGGGGGAACCCUGAUGCAGCAGCGCCGCGUGGAGGAUGACGCAUUUCGGUGUGUAAACUCCUUUUAUAUGUCAAGAAAAUGACGGUAGCAUAUGAAUAAGCACCGGCUAACUCCGUGCCAGCAGCCGCGGUAAUACGGAGGGUGCAAGCGUUACUCGGAAUCACUGGGCGUAAAGGACGCGUAGGCGGGUUGGAAAGUCAGGUGUGAAAUCCUACAGCUUAACUGUAGAACUGCACUUGAAACUUCUAAUCUAGAGUAUGGGAGGGGGAGAUGGAAUUAGUGGUGUAGGGGUAAAAUCCGUAGAUAUCACUAGGAAUACCUAAAGCGAAGGCGAUCUCCUGGAACAUUACUGACGCUAAGGCGUGAAAGCGUGGGGAGCAAACAGGAUUAGAUACCCCUGUAGUC